UACGAGUGCCCCAAGCGUUAUCCGGAAUUAUUGGGCGUAAAGGGUGUGUAGGCGGUCCUCCCCGCUCAGCGGGGUUUACAGCUAGUCUCUCGUUAAAGCUCGGGGCUUAACUCCGAAAAUGCGAGAGAAACGGCGGGACUAGAGAGUGCGAGAGGUUUAUGGAACUCAUGGUGUAGGGGUGAAAUCCGUUGAUAUCAUGGGGAACACCAAAGGCGAAGGCAGUAAACUGGCGCACGUCUGACGCUGAAACACGAAAGCGUGGGUAGCGAAUGGG
This 274-nucleotide ribosomal RNA is filed under the name uncultured bacterium. RNAcentral describes it as "partial 16S ribosomal RNA". It matches the Rfam family "Bacterial small subunit ribosomal RNA", at positions 524 to 776 of the family's 1533-position model. The record is from RNAcentral.